AUGUCUCUCCCUCUUUUUUCCCCCUCCAUCUCCCCUCUCACUUUUUUGCGCUCUCUUUCUCUCCCCCCCCCUUUCCUCUUUCUCUCCCCCCUCCCCUCUCUCUCUCUCUCUCUCUCUCCCCUUGCCUCUUUCUCUCCCCACUCCUCUCUCUCUCUCUCUCCCCUUUUCUCUUUCUCUCCCCCCUCCUCUCUCUCUCUCUCUCUGUUUUCAGAGACUACAUCUGCCUCCAGACCUGUCAGAGACAGUGAGUCGUGUGAGCCGGGGAGAGCUGACAGGGACAGCCAUGGUGGGCUCCUCAGGCUGUGGCUCCGGCUCCACUGGCAACAGACAUCUGGACUUCUAGAACCCCACUCACCAUCAUCGCCGCUGGCAACAAACAUCUGGACUUCUAGAACCCCCUCACCAUUAUCACCGCUGGCAGCAAACAUCUGGACUUCUAGAACCCCCUCACCAUUAUCACCGCUGGCAGCAAACAUCUGGACUUCUAGAACCCCCUCACCAUUAUCACCGCUGGCAGCAAACAUCUGGACUUCUAGAACCCCCUCACCAUUAUCACCGCUGGCAACCAACAUCUGGAUUUCCAGAACCCCCUCACCAUUAUCACCGCUGGCAACAAACAUCUGGACUUCUAGAACCCCCCUCACCAUUAUCACCGCUGGCAACAAACAUCUGGACUUCUAGAACCCCCCUCACCAUUAUCACCGCUGGCAACCAACAUCUGGAUUUCCAGAACCCCCUCACCAUUAUCACCGCUGGCAACCAACACCUGGACUUCUAGAACCCCCCUCACCAUUAUCACCGCUGGCAACCAACAUCUGGAUUUCCAGAACCCCCUCACCAUUAUCACCGCUGGCAACCAACACCUGGACUUCUAGAACCCCCUCACCAUUAUCACCGCUGGCAACAAAGACCUGGACUUCUAGAACCCCCUCACCAUUAUCACCGCUGGCAACAAACACCUGGACUUAUAGAACCCCCUCACCAUUAUCACCGCUGGCAACAAACACCUGGACUUAUAGAACCCCCUCACCAUUAUCACCGCUGGCAACAAACAUCUGGACUUCUAGAACCCCCUCACCAUUAUCACAGCUGGCAACAAACACCUGGACUUCUAGAACCCCCUCACCAUUAUCACCGCUGGGCAACAAACAUCUGGACUUCUAGAACCCCCUCACCAUUAUCACAGCUGGCAACAAACAUCUGGACUUCUAGAACUGCUGGGACUCUUUCGCCAUGGCAACCCAUUACCCAUGGUUACUCUGCAGACUGUUACACCACUGUCACAUUGUCAACUGUUUCCCUGCCAACUGUUUUCACCCGCCAAUCUUUUCCCUUCAACUGUCCAAGUGGCCUAGCAGCCUCCUUCCUUCCUUUCCUAGGACACUUUGACAUUUGAUAUUUUAGUAAAUGCUAUUGUCUAGAGCGACUUACAAUACCUGUAUUGAAGUAAGGAGGCAGCGACACGCCAUCCAAGCCCCUCUAUGUAACUCUGUCAUCUUGUUGUGACUGGGCCUGUCUCAGAGAGAGAGAGAAGGUGGGGGAAUCAUUUCAACGGGAUAUCUGUAAUGAAACACAAGAUACACCUUUCUGCUAUUUCACCAUCCUGCUAUUUCACCAUCCUGCUAUUUCACCAUCCUGCUAUUUCACCAUCCUGCUAUUUCACCAUCCUGCUAUUUCACCAUCCUGCUAUUUCACCAUCCUGCUAUUUCACCAUCCUGCUAUUUCACCAUCCUGCUAUUUCACCAUCCUGCUAUUUCACCAUCCUGCUAUUUCACCAUCCUGCUAUUUCACCAUCCUGCUAUUUCACCAUCCUGCUAUUUCACCAUCCUGCUAUUUCACCAUCCUGCUAUUUCACCAUCCUGCUAUUUCACCAUCCUGCUAUUUCACCUUUCUGCUAUUUCACCAUCCUGCUAUUUCACCAUCCUGCUAUUUCACCAUCCUGCUAUUUCACCAUCCUGCUAUUUCACCAUCCUGCUAUUUCACCAUCCUGCUAUUUCACCAUCCUGCUAUUUCACCAUCCUGCUAUUUCACCUUUCUGCUAUUUCACCAUCCUGCUAUUUCACCAUCCUGCUAUUUCACCAUCCUGCUAUUUCACCAUCCUGCUAUUUCACCAUCCUGCUAUUUCACCAUCCUGCUAUUUCACCUUUCUGCUAUUUCACCAUUCAAUCAAAGGCAUGUUGAAAAUGUGUUUUUUGAUAAGUUGAAUAAAUGUGUAUAAAUCCAUAUCUCCAUGUUUCAUAGCCUGUUUUCUAGCUUAUUUAGAACUCUGGAGGUUUCUAUCGUAACACCCAUAUUCUCCACAGAUCUUUUCUGUCUGGUUUGUUCCCUAGUAAUGGUUGAGGUGAGCAUUUGGAUAGGGCAAGCUGAUCUUAGAUCUGUAGUUAGGAGCAACCAGGAGUAAAGGGUUGGAUGUGGGCGCAGGCUUCACAGCUCAUCAGGUCUGUUAUCUGGAUGGGCGGCUCUGCUAUGACAAGACCAAAACAACAAAUGAGGUCAGAUGGUGACAUGGAGAAAGACUGAAUAUACAGCAUGUAAAAUAAAACAUGUCACUGUGUUUCUCUUCUGCGGUUGGUGUGGAUGUGUUGCUUUAUGAGGUGUGUGUGUGUGUGUGUGUGUGUGUGUGUGUGUGUGUGUGUGUGUGUGUGCAUUUCCCCCAAGUAAUUCACAUUUACUGGUGUAAGGUCACUAGGUCAUUCUUUAAAGAUCAAGCUAUGACUUCAUACAAGGUGGUCAGAGAUUUGUGACGCAAUAAAUAUGAUGUAUGGCCUCUGGAGUGUUUGGUAAAAGUGAUUUUGUAGAUGUGAAGUUUUUUGAAAGGCUAUCGAUAGCAGCAAUGGAACCCGGAGGCCUUCUAUUGCAAGUAAUCUAAAAUAUUAAACUAAGCUUGUUGUUUGGGUCUGUCUGUAACAUGCACACAUGUUGUCCCAGCUCAUAUUUCAGUUGACACAACCUUAUUUGACUCCAGGGGAACUUGUAUUGGUCAUGUAGAAAGGGUGAGCCCUGCAUUAUGCAUCCUAGGGGUUACGUAAAUCUCCUUAUGGAGGGGGGAGAGAGGCUGAAAUCGUCUGGCUCUGCCUGCGUACAUUUACUUUAAUGCACGCAACUAUAGUUCUCUGUGUGAAGUGACUACAGUGUCUCAAUCUAGGUGCCCUACUUAAAUCACAUGACUGUGUUCCUGUACUGUAAUCCCGGGGUGAGACUAACUACUUUAAAAUGAAUACAACCAAAUGGAAAGUGUGGGAAUGAUCAUGGACCUACAUUCACACAGAUUCUUGAUUGUGUCCAGCUCACUAAUAAUCACCCAAAUGAAAGCUAGACAGUCAGGCAGUAUCAAACAUUUAAGAAAAAUAUGGAUAGAGGAAUAUUUUUGUGCCAAUUUUGACAGCGAGGAAAUAUAACACAUGUUCACUGUGGACCUCUGGACCUUGUGGACGACCAAAUGGGAAAUAUAAGGUGUUAAAAAAUAUAUAUGUAUUUCACCUUUAUUUAACCAGGUAGGCCAGAUCACCUUUAUUUAACCAGGUAGGCCAGAUCACCUUUAUUUAACCAGGUAGGCCAGAUCACCUUUAUUUAACCAGGUAGGCCAGAUCACCUUUAUUUAACCAGGUAGGCCAGAUCACCUUUAUUUAACCAGGUAGGCCAGAUCACCUUUAUUUAACCAGGUAGACCAGAUCACCUUUAUUUAACCAGGUAGACCAGAUCACCUUUAUUUAACCAGGUAGGCCAGAUCAUCUUUAUUUAACCAGGUAGGCCAGAUCACCUUUAUUUAACCAGGUAGGCCAGAUCACCUUUAUUUAACCAGGUAGACCAGAUCACCUUUAUUUAACCAGGUAGGCCAGAUCACCUUUAUUUAACCAGGUAGGCCAGAUCACCUUUAUUUAAUCAGUAUACCAAGUAUAAGGUUGUUAAAUAUAAGGUGUUGUUAAGUAUAAGGUGAUGUUAAGUAUAAGGUUGUUAAAUAUAAGGUGAUGUUAAGUAUAAGGUGAUGUUAAGUAUAAGGUGAUGUUAAGUAUAAGGUGUUGUUAAAUAUAAGGUGUUGUUAAAUAUAAGGUGAUGUUAAAUAUAAGGUUGUUAAGUAUAAGGUGAUGUUAAAUAUAAGGUUGUUAAGUAUAAGGUUGUUAAAUAUAAGGUUGUUAAGUAUAAGGUUGUUAAAUAUAAGGUGAUGUUAAAUAUAAGGUUGUUAAGUAUAAGGUGAUGUUAAAUAUAAGGUUGUUAAGUAUAAGGUGAUGUUAAGUAUAAGGUGUUAAGUAUAAGGUGAUGUUAAGUAUAAGGUGUUAAGUAUAAGGUUGUUAAAUAUAAGGUGAUGUUAAAUAUAAGGUGAUCUAAAUUGCCUUAAAAUCUAAGAAAUGUAAGCUGACGUGUAAUGUAAUGUUACCUGGUAUCUCCUAUCUGGGUGGAGUUCUAAUGAACACAUAUACAGGCUUGUGUUGUGUUGUCCAUUUCAGGUCGUCCAACCUUUCUCUUUGUUCACACAGUAUCUUUCUCAAACAGGUCAAGUUGUGAUUCAUGCAUCACCUCCUUGGAUCCCCCUCCUCU
Molecule: long non-coding RNA, 4536 nt
Filed under: Oncorhynchus mykiss (rainbow trout)
Lineage: Eukaryota; Metazoa; Chordata; Actinopteri; Salmoniformes; Salmonidae
Description: lncRNA (ENSOMYG00000062787.1)
Source: RNAcentral